CCUAAUACAUGCAAGUCGAGCGAGCAGAACCAGCAGAUUUUACUUCGGUAAUGACGCUGGGGACGCGAGCGGCGGAUGGGUGAGUAACACGUGGGGAACCUGCCCUAUAGUCUGGGAUACCACUUGGAAACAGGUGCUAAUACCGGAUAAGAAAGCAGAUCGCAUGAUCAGCUUAUAAAAGGCGGCGUAAGCUGUCGCUAUGGGAUGGCCCCGCGGUGCAUUAGCUAGUUGGUAAGGUAACGGCUUACCAAGGCAAUGAUGCAUAGCCGAGUUGAGAGACUGAUCGGCCACAUUGGGACUGAGACACGGCCCAAACUCCUACGGGAGGCAGCAGUAGGGAAUCUUCCACAAUGGACGCAAGUCUGAUGGAGCAACGCCGCGUGAGUGAAGAAGGUUUUCGGAUCGUAAAGCUCUGUUGUUGGUGAAGAAGGAUAGAGGUAGUAACUGGCCUUUAUUUGACGGUAAUCAACCAGAAAGUCACGGCUAACUACGUGCC
RNAcentral lists this ribosomal RNA (496 nucleotides) under uncultured bacterium. RNAcentral's name for it is "bacterial SSU rRNA". It matches the Rfam family "Bacterial small subunit ribosomal RNA", at positions 47 to 509 of the family's 1533-position model. The record is from RNAcentral.